Molecule: long non-coding RNA, 719 nt
Organism: Canis lupus familiaris (dog)
Lineage: Eukaryota; Metazoa; Chordata; Mammalia; Carnivora; Canidae
Exons: 3
Source: RefSeq, a predicted model, not a curated record
CAAGAAAAUAACAGUAUCCAGCCCAUUUUCUCCUGUGGUGCAUCAUCUCGUCUCCUGGGGCCCAGGCCCAGAUGUGGCUGCUUUCGGUGAGGGGAGCUGGGGUCCAUCCAUCCAUCCAAUCCCUGAGGGCCAUUCACUUGGGGGUUUGGGGUUCGAUUUGCUGCUCGAAAGCCGUUGGGAGACCGCUGAGGAUCAGAGCACCAGGUGGCCCACGGAGGGCUGGAAGGGCGUGUGUGCCUCCCUGCUGGCCUAUGCAGGUGUCAAAAAACCUGCGACCCUGAAAGACUCUGAGAGAGUCCCCACGAAGAGGGAACAGCUGGGACGAGAAGGAAAUGGCGUAGCCCACGUGUGAAAGCUCUUCUGACCCUGGAUCUACACCAAGGAUGAAAGUUUGCUCUUCCCUCAGCCCUCGAGGGCGUAGAAGUGGUGGCCCUCUUCGGAAGAAGUCAGAAGUCAGCCCCCUGGGCCCUACCUGAGGAAGCCUGUCAGCCCUGGGGUAGAAAUUCUGGGAGAAGGAUCUGGCCUCCCCCUCGCCUCUGAGCUGCUCGGCUCCCCAUCUCACUGGAACACUUGCCUCUGUCCUUCAACAUGCCUCGAACCUGCGCCCUCCUCUGAGGUCAGCGACAUAUUUAAAGCACUUGCCUUCAUCCUGUUCCCAUCAUCACACUCAGAGAGAGAGAGAGAGAGAGAGGCAGAGACACAGGCAGAGAGAGAAGCAG